GAUGAACGCUGGCGGCGUGCCUAAUACAUGCAAGUCGAGCGAACGGACGAGAAGCUUGCUUCUCUGAUGUUAGCGGCGGACGGGUGAGUAACACGUGGAUAACCUACCUAUAAGACUGGGAUAACUUCGGGAAACCGGAGCUAAUACCGGAUAAUAUUUUGAACCGCAUGGUUCAAAAGUGAAAGACGGUCUUGCUGUCACUUAUAGAUGGAUCCGCGCUGCAUUAGCUAGUUGGUAAGGUAACGGCUUACCAACGCAACGAUGCAUAGCCGACCUGAGAGGGUGAUCGGCCACGCUGGAACUGAGACACGGUCCAGACUCCUACGGGAGGCAGCAGUAGGGAAUCUUCCGCAAUGGGCGAAAGCCUGACGGAGCAACGCCGCGUGAGUGAUGAAGGUCUUCGGAUCGUAAAACUCUGUUAUUAGGGAAGAACAUAUGUGUAAGUAACUGUGCACAUCUUGACGGUACCUAAUCAGAAAGCCACGGCUAACUACGUG
RNAcentral lists this ribosomal RNA (497 nucleotides) under uncultured bacterium. RNAcentral's name for it is "partial 16S ribosomal RNA". It matches the Rfam family "Bacterial small subunit ribosomal RNA", at positions 28 to 507 of the family's 1533-position model. The record is from RNAcentral.